RNAcentral lists this ribosomal RNA (507 nucleotides) under Eusphalerum luteum. RNAcentral describes it as "eukaryotic LSU rRNA". It matches the Rfam family "Eukaryotic large subunit ribosomal RNA", at positions 758 to 1254 of the family's 3401-position model. The record is from RNAcentral. Lineage: Eukaryota; Metazoa; Arthropoda; Insecta; Coleoptera; Staphylinidae.
CUCCCGGGGCGUCUCGUUCUCAUUGCGAGAAGAGGCGCACCCAGAGCGUACACGCUGGGACCCGAAAGAUGGUGAACUAUGCCUGGUCAGGACGAAGUCAGGGGAAACCCUGAUGGAGGUCCGUAGCGAUUCUGACGUGCAAAUCGAUCGUCGGAACUGGGUAUAGCGGCGAAAGACUAAUCGAACCAUCUAGUAGCUGGUUCCCUCCGAAGUUUCCCUCAGGAUAGCUGGCGCUCGNUGUUGCGAGUCUCAUCCGGUAAAGCGAAUGAUUAGAGGCAUUGGGGUCGAAACGGCCUCAACCUAUUCUCAAACUUUAAAUGGGUGAGAUCUCAGGCUUGCUUAAACCGUGAAGCCGCGAGAUUUCGGAUCAGAGUGCCAAGUGGGCCACUUUUGGUAAGCAGAACUGGCGCUGUGGGAUGAACCAAACGCUGAGUUAAAGCGCCUAAAUCGACGCUUAUGGGAUACCAUGAAAGGCGUUGGUAACUUAAGACAGCAGGACGGUCGCCA